CCAGGAGUAAUAAGGUCAACGAUGCCCAUCAGAGAGGGCCACUGCAGCCAUCAGUAUUUGUUAUCAAAGAGCCUAUCAACAUCUGGUGGGUGGAUUCUCUGUUUGUAAAUGAUGGGUGCUGAUGAGUUCCUUUCCACAUCUCAAGGUGAACCUCCAUGCCGGAAGCUGGAGAGCCACGGGCAACAUCCAGGACAUGGGUUGUGCUGGGAGGACAUGUGUGAUGACUAUUAUCUGAAAUUUCAGUGGUUUUACUGGAAGGUACCUAAGGAAUAGCCAUAAUAUGUUCUCCAGUGAUUCCUAAACGACCUUUUAA
RNAcentral lists this long non-coding RNA (313 nucleotides) under Musa acuminata (dwarf banana). Its description in RNAcentral is "long non-coding RNA (MACU_LNC002560)". Lineage: Eukaryota; Viridiplantae; Streptophyta; Magnoliopsida; Zingiberales; Musaceae. The record is from RNAcentral.